GCUCAGAUGCGAAAGCGUGGGUAGCAAACAGGAUUAGAUACCCUGGUAGUCCACGCCGUAAACGCUGUCUACUUGGAGGUUGAGGUUUUAGACUUUGGCUUUCGGCGCUAACGCAUUAAGUAGACCGCCUGGGGAGUACGGCCGCAAGGUUAAAACUCAAAUGAAUUGACGGGGGCCCGCACAAGCGGUGGAGCAUGUGGUUUAAUUCGAUGCAACGCGAAGAAUCUUACCUACUCUUGACAUCCAGCGAAGCCUUUAGAGAUAGAGGCGUGCCUUCGGGAGCGCUGAGACAGGUGCUGCAUGGCUGUCGUCAGCUCGUGUUGUGAAAUGUUGGGUUAAGUCCCGCAACGAGCGCAACCCUUAUCCUUGUUUGCCAGCACGUAAUGGUGGGAACUCCAGGGAGACUGCCGGUGAUAAACCGGAGGAAGGUGGGGACGACGUCAAGUCAUCAUGGCCCUUACGAGUAGGGCUACACACGUGCUACAAUGGCAGAUACAGAGGGCAGCGAGACAGCGAUGUUUAGCGAAUCCCUUAAAGUUUGUCGUAGUCCGGAUUGGAGUCUGCAACUCGACUCCAUGAAGUCGGAAUCGCUAGUAAUCGUGGAUCAGAAUGCCACGGUGAAUACGUUCCCGGGCCUUGUACACACCGCCCGU
This 653-nucleotide ribosomal RNA is filed under the name uncultured bacterium. Its description in RNAcentral is "bacterial SSU rRNA". It matches the Rfam family "Bacterial small subunit ribosomal RNA", at positions 745 to 1397 of the family's 1533-position model. The record is from RNAcentral.